CGUAUGCGGCUUGGCAAGUAGGAUGUGAAAGCCCUAGGCUCAACCCAGGAUGUGCAUUCAAAACUGCCUGGCUUGAAUCUCGGAGGGUGUCAGGGAAUUCCCGGUGUAGAGGUGAAAUUCGUAGAUAUCGGGAGGAACACCAGUGGCGAAGGCGCUGACCUGGACGAUGAUUGACGCUGAGGCGCGAAAGCGUGGGGAGCAAACAG
Molecule: ribosomal RNA, 206 nt
Filed under: uncultured bacterium
Lineage: Bacteria
Description: partial 16S ribosomal RNA
Rfam family: Bacterial small subunit ribosomal RNA
Source: RNAcentral